RNAcentral lists this ribosomal RNA (292 nucleotides) under uncultured bacterium. Its description in RNAcentral is "partial 16S ribosomal RNA". It matches the Rfam family "Bacterial small subunit ribosomal RNA", at positions 505 to 796 of the family's 1533-position model. The record is from RNAcentral.
GUGCCAGCAGCCGCGGUAAUACGUAGGGUGCGAGCGUUGUCCGGAAUUAUUGGGCGUAAAGGGCUCGUAGGCGGUUUGUCGCGUCGGGAGUGAAAACACUGGGCUUAACCGAGUGCUUGCUUCCGAUACGGGCAGACUUGAGGCAUUGAGGGGAGAACGGAAUUCCUGGUGUAGCGGUGAAAUGCGCAGAUAUCAGGAGGAACACCGGUGGCGAAGGCGGUUCUCUGGCAAUGUUCUGACGCUGAGGAGCGAAAGUGUGGGGAGCGAACAGGAUUAGAUACCCUGGUAGUCC